GGACUUACGCGACGGCAAAGAAGGAGUAUCCAUCCAAAUGCCAUGACUGAAUGCUCUUCUCGUGGUUCUCAAAGAUGAUCUCUACAAAGUCACGGAAGGUCUGGUUGACAACGUUGGGUGCCAAGGUGACCUUGUCCUCCACGGUGGCUGGGGGUUCAUCUUGGAUGGUGUCGUACUUGAAGACCUUGUCGGCCACACCAAAGUACUGAGCCAGCUUGAGUGGGGUUUCGGAUUCCACGUAGGAGACUCCGUUGAUGGCAUAGCGGAGCUUGCCAUUCACCAUCGAGGCGGAGUUGACGAUCUUGAUGGUACGGGUGAUGUUGAUCUUUCCGUAGUGGUACGAGCCCUGAGGAUUAGGCCUGGCAGCGCUGGCAGUAAGGUUCCAGCGGAAGGAACGGAACUGGUUGAGAGACCAGGCCCAUCCUACAGGAGCUUCGGGGAGCUCGGGGGAUGCAGGGCCGUUACUGUUUUCAUAGCGGAUUAUGCCUUUGCCGGUGAGCACGGUCUUGGUGAAUCGGGUCGAGGCUACCAUGUAGUAGUCCUUGCGCUCUUUGUCGGCAGUGACGAGCAACGAGAAGCAUUGCCCCAAGUGCACGUCAAGGGACUCGUAGGUGUUCUGGACGGUGUGGGAGCCUUCCAUCUCGACAAGCUUUAAGGGGUGGCCUUGGAUCCUGAAGUUGAGGGAGUUCUUGAAGCCCACGUUGCAGACCCUGUACUUGUAGGUCUUCCCUGGCUUCAUGGUGAAGAGGGGCUCGUCUUUGCCGUCUCCCUUGGCGUUCUUGCCGUUGAUUAGGAUGCCGUCGGGCCUUCCCAUGGUGCGGCCGCUGUCCAAUAAUUUCUUGAGAGCGGUGUGACUUUUGGUGUACCAGUCGCCGAUCAUAACGGUGUAUUCAUCCUCGGGAUCAGCAUAGGGGACGGGAAUGAGCAGACGACUGUUGAUGCGGAGUCCACCAAAGCCGCCUGCUGCCCUGUGCAUGGCAGUGACGGGAUAGUACAUGUAGCUCCCGAUCUGAUCCUUGACUUGGAAGCGGUAGGUGAAGUUGGUGCCAGGGACGAUGGGGCACAUGGUUCCAAGGGUUCCAUCCUGCCACGAAUUCUUCCUCUGCUGGAUGCCGCUCCAUGUCAAAAGGAAUGGCUCAUCGAGGUUGUU
This 1150-nucleotide long non-coding RNA is filed under the name Malus domestica (apple). RNAcentral's name for it is "long non-coding RNA (MDOM_LNC002270)". Lineage: Eukaryota; Viridiplantae; Streptophyta; Magnoliopsida; Rosales; Rosaceae. The record is from RNAcentral.